This is a long non-coding RNA of Eriocheir sinensis (Chinese mitten crab), 1030 nucleotides long. RefSeq lists it as uncharacterized. NCBI's taxonomy places the organism in Eukaryota, Metazoa, Arthropoda, Malacostraca, Decapoda, Varunidae. The record is from RefSeq and is a predicted model, not a curated record. The transcript is spliced from 3 exons.
CUCAGUUAUUUUUAAAGGCCUAAGAGAGGAUCAAUCAGGAUCUAAUGAGUGUUUUUUUAUGUUCAUACUACAGAAGAAAGGCCAAUCUACCAUCAGGGUCAUAAAAACACUCCUGGAAAUGCUCUAAAGUCAUACGAAAGCAUUGUCAAAUAGGUGAACUUGGGCCUUGGGGGACGAAAUGUUUAGUAAUAUGACUCAGAAUUGAAACCAGAAGCAAGCUAUAGAGAUCCCCCGAUACAAAGACUAGGCACAACUUAACAUCCCACACACAAAGCAGUCAGAUAAAGAACAACUAAGGAAUAAAAUAAUGAAAACAGAAAAGAUAUCCGUUGCAAAGACAGAUCCUCGCUAGCAACAUGGCGGCUUCAGAGUGCCCAGCCUGUACAUUUGAGUUCUUUUGGGAAAUUAGACAGACUUGCCGCCCACAGGUACUUCAUUCUAUUACAUGGUGUUGUCCUUAAGGUCACACUGUCUGUUACAAUAUGAGGGAGUAAUCAGGGUUAUAAUAUAUACCUCGGGGCGCGUCAGGCAGGCUUCGGGGUGGUUCCUUGGGGUCAAAGCUUCGAACCAUUGCAUUUACAGGUUAGGUUAGACAUUUACAGGUUAGGUUAGACAUUUACAGGUUAGGUUAGGCAUUUACAGGCUAGGUUAGGCAUUUACAGGUUAGGUUAGGCAUUUACAGGCUAGGUUAGGCAUUUACAGGUUAGGUUAGACAUUUACAGGUUAGGUUAGGCAUUUACAGGUUAGGUUAGGCAUUUACAGGUUAGGUUAGGCAUUUACAGGUUAGGUUAGGCAUUUACAGGUUAGGUUAGGCAUUUACAGGUUAGGUUAGGCAUUUACAGGUUAGGUUAGGCAUUUACAGGUUAGGUUAGGCAUUUACAGGUUAGGUUAGGCAUUUACAGGUUAGGUUAGGCCUUACUAUGAAUAACAACCUUAACUUUAAUGUGGAGGUGCUUUUGGUCGGCAUUUACACAUUUGCCACGCUGCCUAUUCAGUGUUUACACACUGGAACACUCAAGUCCAAACGUAC